This 543-nucleotide ribosomal RNA is filed under the name uncultured organism. RNAcentral's name for it is "SSU rRNA". It matches the Rfam family "Bacterial small subunit ribosomal RNA", at positions 481 to 1033 of the family's 1533-position model. The record is from RNAcentral.
CGCGAAUUCGCCCUUGUGCCAGCAGCCGCGGUAAUACGUAGGGUGCGAGCGUUGUCCGGAAUUACUGGGCGUAAAGAGCUCGUAGGUGGUUUGUCGCGUUGUUCGUGAAAACUCACAGCUUAACUGUGGGCGUGCGGGCGAUACGGGCAGACUAGAGUACUGCAGGGGAGACUGGAAUUCCUGGUGUAGCGGUGGAAUGCGCAGAUAUCAGGAGGAACACCGGUGGCGAAGGCGGGUCUCUGGGCAGUAACUGACGCUGAGGAGCGAAAGCGUGGGGGGCGAACAGGAUUAGAUACCCUGGUAGUCCACGCCGUAAACGGUGGGUACUAGGUGUGGGUUCCUUCCUUGGGAUCCGUGCCGUAGCUAACGCAUUAAGUACCCCGCCUGGGGAGUACGGCCGCAAGGCUAAAACUCAAAGGAAUUGACGGGGGCCCGCACAAGCGGCGGAGCAUGUGGAUUAAUUCGAUGCAACGCGAAGAACCUUACCUGGGUUUGACAUGCACAGGACGCCGGCAGAGAUGUCGGUUCCCUUGUGGCCUGUGU